CAGCAGCCACGGUAAUACGUAGGGUGCGAGCGUUAAUCGGAAUUACUGGGCGUAAAGCGUGCGCAGGCGGUUUUGUAAGACAGGCGUGAAAUCCCCGGGCUCAACCUGGGAAUGGCGCUUGUGACUGCAAAGCUAGAGUGCGGCAGAGGGGGAUGGAAUUCCGCGUGUAGCAGUGAAAUGCGUAGAUAUGCGGAGGAACACCGAUGGCGAAGGCAAUCCCCUGGGCCUGCACUGACGCUCAUGCACGAAAGCGUGGGGAGCAAACAGGAUUAGAUACCCGCGUAGUCCCUGUCUCUUAUAA
This 301-nucleotide ribosomal RNA is filed under the name uncultured bacterium. Its description in RNAcentral is "partial 16S ribosomal RNA". It matches the Rfam family "Bacterial small subunit ribosomal RNA", at positions 509 to 809 of the family's 1533-position model. The record is from RNAcentral.